AGUGAACGCUGGCGGUAGGCCUAACACAUGCAAGUCGAACGGCAGCACAGUAAGAGCUUGCUCUUACGGGUGGCGAGUGGCGGAUGGGUGAGGCAUACAUCGGAUUCUACUUUUUCGUGGGGGAUAACGUAGGGACACUUACGCUAAUACCGCAUACGUCCUACGGGUGAAAGCAGGGGAUCUUCGGACCUUUCGCGAUUGAAUGAGACGAUGUCGGAUUAGCUAGUUGGCGGGGUAAAGGCCCACCAAGGCGACGAUCCGUAGCUGGUCUGAGAGGAUGAUCGGCCACACUGGAACUGAGACACGGUCCAGACUCCUACGGGAGGCAGCAGUGGGGAAUAUUGGGCAAUGGGCUCAAGCCUGAUCCAGCCAUACCGCGUGGGUGAUGAAGGCCUUCGGGUUGUAAAACCCUUUUGUUGGGAAAGAAAAGCAGCAGGUGAAUACCCCGCUGUUCUGACGGUACCCAAAGAGUAAGCACCGGCUAACUUCGUG
Molecule: ribosomal RNA, 492 nt
Filed under: uncultured bacterium
Lineage: Bacteria
Description: partial 16S ribosomal RNA
Rfam family: Bacterial small subunit ribosomal RNA
Source: RNAcentral